UUGUUCAUAGUAGGGUGAUUGAUCUAAAGCUACAACCCAAACCAAUACCGCAACCUGAACCAAAGCCUGCACCACAACCAGACCCAAAGCCAGAACCCAAGCCAACACCGCAGCCUGACCCAAAACCCACACCACAACCAGACCCAAAGCCAGAACCCAAGCCGGCACCACAGCCUGAACCAAAGCCCGCACCACAACCAGAUCCAAAGCCAGAACCUAAACCGACACCGCAACCAAAACCAAAACCUACACCACAACCAGACCCACAACCAGAACCAAAACCCACACCACAACCAGACCCAAAACCGGAACCUAAACCCACACCACAACCAGAUCCAAAGCCCGAGCCAAAACCAACACCACAGCCACCCUCCUCGCAACCUGAACCAAAGCCCGAGCCUGAGCCAAGCCCCAAACCUACGCCAGAACCUAAACCUCAGCUGGAGCCUCAACCAAGCCCAAAACCCCAACCUGAACCAUCCAAGCCAGAGCCCCAGCCAAGGCCCAAACCUACACCAGAGCCAAAAC
RNAcentral lists this long non-coding RNA (528 nucleotides) under Sorghum bicolor (sorghum). RNAcentral's name for it is "long non-coding RNA (SBIC_LNC013315)". Lineage: Eukaryota; Viridiplantae; Streptophyta; Magnoliopsida; Poales; Poaceae. The record is from RNAcentral.